This 258-nucleotide ribosomal RNA is filed under the name uncultured bacterium. RNAcentral's name for it is "partial 16S ribosomal RNA". It matches the Rfam family "Bacterial small subunit ribosomal RNA", at positions 524 to 776 of the family's 1533-position model. The record is from RNAcentral.
UACGUAGGGCGCAAGCGUUAUCCGGAAUUAUUGGGCGUAAAGAGCUCGUAGGCGGUUUGUCGCGUCGGGAGUGAAAACUCAGGGCUCAACCCUGAGCGUGCUUCCGAUACGGGCAGACGUAGAGGUAUGCAGGGGAGAACGGAAUUCCUGGUGUAGCGGUGGGAAUGACGCAGAGUAUCAGGAGGAACACCGGUGGCGAAGGCGGUUCUCUGGGCAUUACCUGACGCUGAGGAGCGAAAGCCAUGGGGAGCGAACAGG